Molecule: ribosomal RNA, 515 nt
Filed under: uncultured bacterium
Lineage: Bacteria
Description: partial 16S ribosomal RNA
Rfam family: Bacterial small subunit ribosomal RNA
Source: RNAcentral
AUUGAACGCUGGCGGCGUGCCUAACACAUGCAAGUCGAACGUGAAAGGGAGCAAUCCUGAGUAAAGUGGCGUACGGGUGAGUAACGCGUAGGUAAUCUACCCCAGAGUCUGGAAUAACCUGCCGAAAGGCGGGCUAAUACUGGAUAGAGCGACGGGAUCCGUAAUGGAUCUUUCGGGAAAGGGAGCUCGCAAGAGCCUUCGCUUUGGGAUGAGCCUGCGUCUCAUUAGCUAGUUGGUGGGGUAACGGCCUACCAAGGCAGUGAUGAGUAGCUGGUCUGAGAGGAUGAUAAGCCACACUGGAACUGAAACACGGUCCAGACUCAUACGGGAGGCAGCAGUGGGGAAUCUUGCGCAAGGGACGAAAGUCUGACGCAGCCACGCCGCGUGAGUGAAGAAGGCCUUCGGGUUGUAAAGCUCUGUCGGGAGGGACGAACAUUUGCUUGGUUAACAGCCAAGUGAACUGACGGUACCUUCAAAGGAAGCACCGGCUAACUCUGUGCCAGCCGCCGCGGUAA